This 252-nucleotide ribosomal RNA is filed under the name uncultured bacterium. RNAcentral describes it as "partial 16S ribosomal RNA". It matches the Rfam family "Bacterial small subunit ribosomal RNA", at positions 526 to 779 of the family's 1533-position model. The record is from RNAcentral.
CGUAGGUGACAAUGUUAUCCGGAAUCACUGGGCGUAAAGGGUCUGUAGGCGGUUACUUAGGUCUGAUGUGACACCUCUCGGCUUAACUGGGAGAGCGCAUUGGAACCGGGUGACUAGAAUCACGUCGAGGUCGGUGGAAUUCCCGGUGUAGUGGUGGAAUGCGUAGAGAUCGGGAGGAACCUCGAAAGCGAAGGCAGCCGGCUAGACGAUGAUUGACGCUGAGGGACGAUAGCGUGGGUAGCAAACAGGAUU